UCGCGGGGUGGAGCAGUCUGGUAGCUCGUCGGGCUCAUAACCCGAAGGUCGUUGGUUCAAAUCCGGCCCCCGCAAU
This 76-nucleotide transfer RNA is filed under the name Anaerostipes butyraticus. Its description in RNAcentral is "tRNA-Met". It matches the Rfam family "tRNA". Rfam says of the family: Transfer RNA (tRNA) molecules are approximately 80 nucleotides in length. Their secondary structure includes four short double-helical elements and three loops (D, anti-codon, and T loops). Further hydrogen bonds mediate the characteristic L-shaped molecular structure. tRNAs have two regions of fundamental functional importance: the anti-codon, which is responsible for specific mRNA codon recognition, and the 3' end, to which the tRNAs corresponding amino acid is attached (by aminoacyl-tRNA synthetases). tRNAs cope with the degeneracy of the genetic code in two manners: having more than one tRNA (with a specific anti-codon) for a particular amino acid; and 'wobble' base-pairing, i.e. permitting non-standard base-pairing at the 3rd anti-codon position. Lineage: Bacteria; Bacillati; Bacillota; Clostridia; Lachnospirales; Lachnospiraceae. The record is from RNAcentral.